CCGGACAAAAACCUCACGAGUAUGAGAGCACUUCACUAGAUGCCUUGAAAAGACCGGUGACCUGCAAAAUAUGCAAAAACCAUGGCACGACGGAAGCACGACGUCCCUAAGUGAACAUUUGAGAUGAAAACGUGGGGGCUGAUGCAGCAGAGGAAUGUCCGAAAAAAACAAGCAACGAUGGACAACUACAUGGGGAACAAGACACUCACCCCCAGCAAUGCAUACCACUUACAAACUCUAUUCUAGAUUCUACAUUAUUUUUAUGGAAUUUACCUCAUAUUUUGAUGCCAAAAAAUUAUUCUGGACUGAUAUUUUGCACUGUUUAGCUCAUUUUACACCACUGACUGUGUUCAUCUGCAAUAAAAUAGAUUGCAGUCAACUGCAAAA
This is a non-coding RNA of Nothobranchius furzeri (turquoise killifish), 387 nucleotides long. Lineage: Eukaryota; Metazoa; Chordata; Actinopteri; Cyprinodontiformes; Nothobranchiidae. The record is from RefSeq and is a predicted model, not a curated record.